UGGGGCGCGGGUGCCCGCGGCUUCGCUGGGACUUGCGCGGCGGUGGGAGACAUGUCGGAUUGGGUGUCCUACUACCGGGGCGAGGGGCCGCAGGAGGACGAGGAGGAGGAGCAGGACGAGGAGAGGGCUGAGGCGGUCGCGGAUUACAGGUUCUUAGGUCGGGACAGCCUCGUUUUCUUAGUGGAUGCGUCCAAGGGCAUGUUUGAGCCCGACGGGGACGGCGCGACUCCCUUUGACAUGGCCAUCCAGUGCAUCUGGAGUGUGUACACCAGCAAAAUCAUUAGUAGUGACAGGGACCUGUUGGGUGUGGUGUUCUAUGGUACGGAAGAGAACAAGAACUCAGCAGAUUUCAAGCACGUCUAUGUUCUUCAGGAGCUGGACAAUCCAGGUGCAAAGCGUGUCCUAGAGCUGGACCAAUACAGGGGAGACAAAGGACAAGUCCUUUUCCGUGACACCUUUGGCCACAAUGCUGACUAUUCACUGGGUGAAGCACUCUGGGCCUGCUCUAAUCUCUUCAGUGAUGUCCGAGUCAGACUGAGCCACAAAAGGAUCAUGCUCUUCACCAACGAGGAUGACCCUCAUGCCAAUGACAGUGUUAAAGCCAAGAUGGCCAGGACCAGAGCUGGUGAUCUGAGAGACACAGGUAUCAUCCUGGACUUGAUGCACUUGAAGAAGCCUGGAGGGUUUGAUAUCUCUUUGUUCUACAGGGAUAUAGUAAACAUAGCAGAGGAUGAGGACCUUGGAAUCCAACCUGAGCAGUCAGAGAAACUGGAACAUCUCAUGAAGAAAGUGCGAGCAAAGGAGACAAAGAAACGGACUUUAGCCAGGUUAAAUCUGUAUCUGAACAAAGAUCUGUCGCUUUCUGUCGGUGUUUACAACCUUCUUCACAAAGCUUAUAAGCCCUAUCCGGUGAAGCUUUAUCGGGAAACUAAUGAACUGGUUAAAAUAAAAACAAGGAUGUUUAAUGCGCAAACAGGCAGCUUGCUCCUGCCUAGUGACACAAAAAGGGCUCAGACAUAUGGAAACCGCCAGAUUGUGCUGGAGAAAGAGGAAACAGAAGAAUUGAGACGCUUUGGUUCUGCAGGCUUGUAUCUGAUUGGCUUCAAACCACUGUCAGUGCUAAAACAGCACCACCAUAUCAGGCCCUCCCAGUUCAUCUAUCCUGAGGAGUCCCUAAUAAGUGGGAGUACAACGCUAUUUAAUGCCUUAUUGAUGAAAUGCCUGGAGAGGGAAAUGAUGAUACUGUGCAGAUAUACUGCCCGGCAGAACACCCCUCCUCGCUUUGUGGCCCUGGUUCCCCAGGAGGAAGAGGUGGAUGAGCAGAAAGUGCAGAUAGCUCCUCCAGGCUUCCACAUCAUCUUCCUGCCAUAUGCAGAUGACAAGCGAAAGGUUGAUUUUACAGAAAAGUUGCCAGCCAGUCGAGAGCAGGUGGACAAAAUGAAGGAAAUAGUUCAAAAACUCCGUUUCAAAUACAGGAUUGACAGCUUUGAGAACCCCGUUUUGCAACAGCACUUCAGGAAUCUGGAGGCUUUGGCGCUGGGUUUGCUCGAACCAGAACAAGCUGAGGAUCUUACAAGUGAGAAUUGUUGUGCCAAAGGUUGAAGAGAUGAAUCGCAGGUUGGGCAACCUGGUGGAGGAAUUUAAGCAGCUGGUUUAUCCCCCUGACUACAAUCCCAAUGGGAAGUCUGUAAAGCAAAACCAAGCUUCUGAUGGUCCAGCGAAGAAGAGGGUCAAGGUAGAAAUCUCAAAAGAUGAGCUGCGGAGUCAUGUACAGAAGGGCACUCUGGGCAAGCUCACUGUACCUGUUCUGAAGGAUGCAUGCAGGCUUUAUGGGCUGAAGGGUGGGGGGAAGAAGCAGGAGCUCAUGGAUGCGUUAACUGAAUACUUUAACGAGCACUGAGCAGGAGUGGAAGGCCCUGGUUGACUGCAAUCUGCUUAAAAUUGUGGUUGUCUUAUGUGGAUGCUUAUGUGUCUAUUUAAUCUUGCUGUGGAGAAGGCGACUAAAUGUUGCUGAAUCAGGCAGUGGAGAAAUUUUUUACUCUUACUUGUGAAACAUCUCUGCAAAGUUGGAUUCUGUUCACAGUAGCCAAAGGCAGAAUUAAAGUCCCUGCUAACUCAGGUCACCCACUGCAAGUGAACACAGUUGUGCCUUCCUUGUUUCUUAAUAAAAGUUAUUUUGGACUUCUUACUUUGCAA
Strigops habroptila (Kakapo) is the source of this 2196-nucleotide RNA transcript. It is a transcript of the gene named X-ray repair cross complementing 6, with no coding region annotated. The transcript is spliced from 12 exons. The record is from RefSeq and is a predicted model, not a curated record. Lineage: Eukaryota; Metazoa; Chordata; Aves; Psittaciformes; Psittacidae.